RNAcentral lists this ribosomal RNA (497 nucleotides) under uncultured bacterium. RNAcentral's name for it is "partial 16S ribosomal RNA". It matches the Rfam family "Bacterial small subunit ribosomal RNA", at positions 28 to 507 of the family's 1533-position model. The record is from RNAcentral.
GAUGAACGCUGGCGGCGUGCCUAAUACAUGCAAGUCGAGCGAACAGACGAGGAGCUUGCUCCUUCGACGUUAGCGGCGGACGGGUGAGUAACACGUAGGUAACCUACCUAUAAGACUGGGAUAACUUCGGGAAACCGGAGCUAACACCGGAUAAUAUUUCGAACCGCAUGGUUCGAUAGUGAAAGAUGGCUUUGCUAUCCCUUAUAGAUGGACCUGCGCCGUAUUAGCUAGUUGGUAAGGUAACGGCUUACCAAGGCAACGAUACGUAGCCGACCUGAGAGGGUGAUCAGCCACACUGGAACUGAGACACGGUCCAGACUCCUACGGGAGGCAGCAGUAGGGAAUCUUCCGCAAUGGGCGAAAGCCUGACGGAGCAACGCCGCGUGAGUGAUGAAGGUCUUCGGAUCGUAAAACGCUGUUAUUAGGGAAGAACAAACGUGUAAGUAACUGUGCACGUCUUGACGGUACCUAAUCAGAAAGCCACGGCUAACUACGUG